Long non-coding RNA from Penaeus chinensis, 157 nucleotides. RefSeq lists it as uncharacterized. The transcript is spliced from 2 exons. The record is from RefSeq and is a predicted model, not a curated record. NCBI's taxonomy places the organism in Eukaryota, Metazoa, Arthropoda, Malacostraca, Decapoda, Penaeidae.
GCAGUUCCUCAGUAGCGCGGGUUGGGUGGACAGAGGCGGCGAGAGAGAGAGGCGGUUAGCACUCCCAUCCAGCUACGGGCAGAGCGCCCUGAAAAAUAGGAACUGAAAAAAAGAAAGAAAAUCAGCUAACAAGCUAACUAAAGAACUGUGCUUAUAA